This is a non-coding RNA of Camellia sinensis, 3197 nucleotides long. The record is from RefSeq and is a predicted model, not a curated record. Lineage: Eukaryota; Viridiplantae; Streptophyta; Magnoliopsida; Ericales; Theaceae.
ACCUCAUCUCUCAACAACAAUUUGAACCAAGUUUUCCGAGGAAUAUAUCCUUUCGGCCAAGCAUUUCCGUCAACAACCCCCAAUCCAAUUCCAAAAUUUGGGAGCCCCAAACUCAAUCCCUAUAAGAAGAAGAAGAGAAAGCACUGCUGAGGUUGAUUCAAACAUUUAGGUUUAGGGCACAGAAUCUGUAUCUGCUUCCUCAUUCUCGCAUCCAACAACAACAAGAAGAAGAAUAGCAAUGUCGGACUUUCUCCCAGACGAAAUCAUGGUUGAAAUCCUCCACAGACUACCCACCUAAGCCCUAAUCCAAUUCAGGUCUGUUUCCAAAUCAUUGAACUCUCUUAUCACAAGCCCUAGUUUCAUCAACACCCACUUCAAUCACUCACUCAUUUCCAAUACCUACAAUAACAGCUAUGAUAAUCUCCCACUCAUGAUACUUAGGCAAUGUGUUUCUACUCCCUAUACCAAAACAGAGCACUACAAAUUGUGUAUUGAUACUGAUGAAUCAUUGCAUGAAUACAAAGAACUUGAAAUCCCAAUAAAGAGCCGUUGUCUUCACUUUUUUUUCGCAAUUGGGUAUGCGAAAGGUUUGUUUUGCCUUUUCGAACAGGAUCGGUUUUUUCUUUGGAACCUGUCGAUUAGAAAGUCCAUGGCCAUGCCCAAACCUACGAUCAAGACCUCUAUGCAUUAUCAUGGGUUUGGAUUUGAUCCGCGGGGCAAUGAUUAUAAGGUGGUUACAAUAGCCAACAGAACUAAACUGCCUAAUGGGGAGCCAAUAACACACAUUGAGGUUAACUCCCUUAAUGCAGGCGUAUGGAAAAUGUCUAGCAUGGGGAGAAACUCUUAUCCGGAUGGAAUUACUAUAGGUUAUUCGGGGCGAUUCGCUGCUUAUUUAGAAGGGGCUGUUCAUUUUGCUGCGAAUAUGAAGAAAUCCAAUGAUCCCUUGAUUUUGUCGUUUGAUUUGUGCGAUGAGGUGUUUCAAACGAUGAUGUUACCAGAUGGUAUUGUAGGCCCGAGAACCGAGGUCCGGGCUUCAGUAUUUGGGGGAUUGCUUUCUCUGUUAUGUUACGAAGAUAGUGCUGUGUACAAGUCUUGUUCCAUUUGGAUAAUGAAAAAGUACGGUGUAGUUGAUUCUUUGUACAAGCAGUUAACAAUUGAUCUAAGCAGAGAAAUUACGCAGGUAUUAGGUAUACAGAAUAAUGGUCAUAUAUUAUUGGAGACAAAAGCACCAAGUGAUUGGGUGCUUUCUUCAUAUGACCCUUCGAGCCAACAAACUAAGAAUUUGGGAAUUUAUGCUACUUCAAACCAUUUUGUUGUUGAUACUUACGAGGAGAACCUAAUCUUACUCAACAAACCAAAUGAUGCAUUCUCUAGAAGGCGAGUGAGCAGGAAGAGGAAACACAGGGGUACUAGUCAUCUAAAAAGGCAUGCUAACAAACAUUUACAAAGUCGACAACCUGAUAUUCGAAGUCAGAUGCAAUUAGGGGCUUCAUCAACUGUGGGAGACGCCAUGGACACGCUGUGACACUUUCCGGACACGCCUGAGGUGGAUCGAAUCGAAGCCCUAACCCUAACUGAAAUAGAGAAAGAGAUCGAGGGAGAAGAGGAGACAGUGAAAGAGAUCAAGGAACGAGAGAAGACAGAGAUCGAGGGAGGAGAUAAGAGAAGACAGACAGAGAAAGAGACAGAGAAAGAGGAAAAGAGAGGAGCCUAACCUGUUCUGAUCAAUGAAGAAGCUGAGGUUGACUCUUGACCUAGACUUUCAAGCACGAAUAAAGGCACUUAAUAGUGAUAUUCAAAGGCAGACAAAUGAAGUUGAGCUCCAGUUAAGAGAGAUAAAGGGAAAGGUAGAGGAAGCAAUGGAAAUCAUAGCAAGAAUGGGGCCUCCACAACAUGCUGAGGUCUACGCCAAACUCCACACUAUUUUUUUGCAAAUGCGACCCAUUGUUGUUCCAAGCAAUGUUCAUGAUAAUGGGUACUAAGGAACCUUACAGAGAACCAUCCACUUCUUGCGCGAAUGGUGUGGAAGUGGCACUAAUACUUCUUUCUUCAGAACGAGUGGGAUUAGCACUUGGAUGCUAGAGAAACAUAUAUUUAUGGAGAAUAAUGCAGUAUAGAGUCAAAUUGCUACUUCAUAUGAACUGAACCAUUUUGAACAUGGCCCAAAGCAUGUUAAAGAGUCAAAUUGCUACUUCAUAUGACUUAGGGUCUCAUGAGUGAUGAAGUGUCAGUGGCGCUCAGCUGGAGUGCUCGGCCACCGUUAAUAUAUAUUUUUCCAAUCAGCAUGUGGUCUCUUUUGUUACGAUGUGUGUGUUGAUCACACAGCUAAAACGCUAUUGUGAUUGAUGCUGGCCCACCACGGCCUUUUCUAAAGAGUAAAUGCUGAAGUCUUUUUCCUCAUUGGCCAAGAAUACCUAAUUCAUGCUGACACUGUGUAUCUAAAGCUGGGCCCACACAUUGAAACGCAUCUCCUGUCUUCACUUGGCUUAGUUUUCAUCUGAGCCAGGCAAAUCGUCUUUCCAAGAAUCAGGCCCACCUUUUCCUCAUGAACUCCACUUUAAUUUAAGGAACAAAUCGAUUCGACGAGGCUCACUGCCACUUUUCAAAGUUCCGUGGUGAAUAAUUGUGAGGUGGCUGCUGAGAAACUGAGCCACAGUCGUGUCCUUGGCAGGGGUGUAGGUGUCAAGGGAAAAGAUUUGAAUGGCUGCAUAGGGCAAGGAUUGUACGAGGGAUGAGGAUUAUGAGGCAGAGUUUAUAAAAAGAAGGGCUAAAUCUACUGAAUUUCUGAAGCAAUUGUCUGAGAUGAAGGAUCAAUUAUUGCAGACCUUUUAGCAAACCAUUCUUACCUACAGUGCAGGCAUCUACUAAUGCACAGCCAUGAUCCAGGUAAAAAAAAAAUAAAAAUUGAAUGAUUUCAAAUAUUCAAUGGAUUCAAAGCCUGACCCAGUGGAUGACAUAACAUAUGAUUCAGUCUUUACCAAACAGAACUACCUCUGAUAUUCUGACUCUUUCUGGGCACAUCAGAUGAAAUGGUCUCGUAUUGUUUUCAAUUUUGUUCUGCAGAAAUAUCAUUUUUAGGAGCAAAAUGAUCAUGGAAUUUGAAAAAAAAAAAUUGUUAUAUAUUUUUUAUCCAGCAUCUUGUAAUGUGGCUUGCAACUGGCAUUCUUGUUUUCUUUGACUGUAUAUUGUUGUUACUA